UACGUAGGGUGCGAGCGUUGCCCGGAUUUAUUGGGCGUAAAGGGCGCGUAGGCGGCUCGGCACGUCCGUUGUGAAAUCGCCCGGCUCAACUGGGCGGGGUCAGCGGAUACGGUCGAGCUUGAGCAAGCUAGGGGGUAAUGGAAUUCCCGGUGUAGUGGUGGAAUGCGUAGAUAUCGGGAGGAACACCAGUGGCGAAGGCGAAUCCCUGGAAAAUACCUGACACUGAAGCACGAAAGCGAGGGGAGCAAACAGG
Molecule: ribosomal RNA, 253 nt
Filed under: uncultured bacterium
Lineage: Bacteria
Description: partial 16S ribosomal RNA
Rfam family: Bacterial small subunit ribosomal RNA
Source: RNAcentral